AGCUCCGCCAGUGUAUAUCUAUGCUGCUGCGGUUAAAAAGCUCGUAGUUGGAUCUGCGCGCGUGAAGCCGGUCCACCUUUUAGGUUGGUUCUGGCCUUCAGCGCUUAGCCGCUAGUUUUCCCUUCAUGCCUUUAACCGGGUGUGCUGGGUGACUAGCAAGUUUACUUUGAAAAAAUUAGAGUGCUCAAAACAAGCGUUUUGCUUGAAUAUUCGUGCAUGGAAUAAUAGAAUAGGACCUUGGUUCUAUUUUGUUGGUUUUCGGAACACGAGGUAAUGAUUAAGAGGGACAGACGGGGGCAUUCGUAUUGCGACGUUAGAGGUGAAAUUCUUGGAUCGUCGCAAGACGGCCUACUGCGAAAGCAUUUGCCAAGAAUGUUUUCAUUA
RNAcentral lists this ribosomal RNA (384 nucleotides) under Theristus sp. RNAcentral describes it as "partial small subunit ribosomal RNA". It matches the Rfam family "Eukaryotic small subunit ribosomal RNA", at positions 587 to 975 of the family's 1831-position model. Lineage: Eukaryota; Metazoa; Nematoda; Chromadorea; Monhysterida; Xyalidae. The record is from RNAcentral.